This 823-nucleotide long non-coding RNA is filed under the name Physcomitrium patens. RNAcentral describes it as "long non-coding RNA (PPAT_LNC009433)". The record is from RNAcentral. Lineage: Eukaryota; Viridiplantae; Streptophyta; Bryopsida; Funariales; Funariaceae.
CAAAAGAUUGAAAAACUGGAUUCUACGCCACUGGUCCCAAGGGCAAAAUCACCACUUAAUGGCUCCCGCUACAGCUUAACUGCUUGCUGUCGUGAUUACCUUCACAUGGAUCAUUUGCGUUUGGAGUGGCCUUAAAAAAAUAAAAAAUAAAAAAAGUGCAAGACGGCAAGAAAAAGAAACGUACAAAAACAGAGAACAUCAAUGAAGGAAGAAUACCUCUCUCACUUAGACCACUUAGACCCACAGAGACAGACACAUUCAAAGUCUUCGUACUUUUUUUCAACACAUGGCCUGGAAACCCCUCCAAUGUUACUCCUGGGACUCAACACCACUGAACUUCUAGUAUGUCAGGCCAAUUCAGGCCACCACACUCGACCACCUUCCAUGUUAGCAAAAACCCUAAUCUCGCACCACAUUCCGCACUCGCAACUUACACGCACCGACAAAUACCCAACUACGCAGCAUGUUUUGAAUUGUCUUUUCAGCCUGCACGUUGCACCAAAAAUCUUGAGCCAAGAUGCCAGAGGCAGGACACUGGACGAAGACGAAAGGCAACGGUUGUCAUGUCUCUGCAAGGUACACACAGAGACCGCAGCAGAUUGGCAUCAUCACCCAUCACCCAUCACCUCAGAGAAACCCAAAGCCGUAGCCGCAGCGAGGAACUAGCCGAUGACGACGGACAUAGAAGCGUCCUGAAGCCGUCACCAUAGCCUGCCAGCGUUGCAAGAUGGCGUUGCGUACUCCAAGAGCGCCAUAGCCUGAGCCCUGUCUGCGACAACAAUUACGGUCCCGACACAGCUUCUGACUGUAACCUCCAUUCUGA